GAAGCCGCUCGCUCAAGAACACCCGCUCAAAAACACCCACAAAAAAGAUCCUCUAACCUCAUCCUCCCAAAAAAGCUGUUCCCAUGCAGUUUUCCCCGCCACCUUUGAAAUCCAGGAUGGUUCAAGAAUCCUUUACUCUCCAUUUCCUGAAGGUGCUGAAGGAACUCCUGGCCUUCGUGCUUUUCAGUUACACCGUCUUGUUUGGAGCGCUGUUGUUGGCUGGAUGGACGACUUACUUCCUGGUGCUAAAGUGACCCCCGUGUUGUGGUUCUGCCUGGAGCCUGGAGACCUCAGCUGGACAAAA
This is a non-coding RNA of Pseudonaja textilis, 304 nucleotides long. Lineage: Eukaryota; Metazoa; Chordata; Lepidosauria; Squamata; Elapidae. The record is from RefSeq and is a predicted model, not a curated record.